AGGACGAACGCUGGCGGCAUGCCUAACACAUGCAAGUCGAACGGGGGUAGCAAUACCCUAGUGGCGAACGGGUGAGUAACACAUAAGCAAUCUGCCCUUCGACAGGGGGAUAACAGCGGGAAACUGCUGCUAAUACCGCAUAAGACCACAGUACCGCAUGGUACAGGGGUAAAAACGAAUCAGUGGUGAAGGAUGAGCUUAUGUCCCAUUAGCUAGUUGGUGAGAUAACAGCCCACCAAGGCGACGAUGGGUAGCCGACCUGAGAGGGUGAUCGGCCACACUGGAACUGAGACACGGUCCAGACUCCUACGGGAGGCAGCAGUGGGGAAUAUUGGGCAACGGAGGAAAAACCUCUUACCCAGCAAUGCCGCGUGAGUGAAGAAGGUCUUCGGAUUGUAAAGCUCUUUGAUUGGGGACGAAGAAAGUGACGGUACCCAAGGAACAAGCCCCGGCUAACUACGUGCCAGCAGCCGC
This 474-nucleotide ribosomal RNA is filed under the name uncultured bacterium. Its description in RNAcentral is "bacterial SSU rRNA". It matches the Rfam family "Bacterial small subunit ribosomal RNA", at positions 26 to 518 of the family's 1533-position model. The record is from RNAcentral.